UAAAUGACAUAAUCCAUGUAAGUUCAGCACCAAGACAAGGGUAUAUUAAGAUUUAAAUAAAAGCCAGCCAUUAUUGUUCUAGCUCUGACAUGGUAAGACUUUGUGUGGUUCCUCCACGUUCUUUUCACUAAGCCCUUCGAACUUCUGUGUUGCCCCAAAUAUAGUGAUAUUAGAGAUGGCUUCUUUACUCUUUUUCUCAAAUACGUUUCCUGAAAAUGGAAAAGAUGUGUCCACGGUAACCAGAGAGAGGUGACCAGCAGAGAUGGAGGGAGAAAGGUUGGCUCGGAAGUGGUCCAGAAUAUGUGAGCCUGGAGUAACUGUGUCAGCGCCUUUCUAGGCAGCUGCCACAGGAGAGCCAGCAGAUUCCACCUUCCAGGAUUUCAGAGAACCGAGACCAUGGGUGUUGACUAGGUUUUCACAAAGGAUCCUGCCCUGGUUGGGCUGCUUUGAAUCCCGCCUGCCAGACCCAAGUCUUACGAUCCAAACCGGGAAUGAGCUGCUACUAUGGAAAGUGAGAUUUUUACUGCAGGAUUAAGAAACCAUCGCACUUUUUCAAUUGCAUCAGGCCUGACGUCCCCGGGAUUGACUAGUCAGCUCAUUUAAACCAGGUGCAGGUCUUGUGGCCGGUUCUUUAACGGGCAGACAUUAUUAGCUACCCUGUGGCUGUCUUUCUCAUUUUUCUAACCUCUUCCAAACUUUGCAGACAGUUUCAGGAAGCCAUGCACACUGCCAGGGGCCAAGGAGAAGCUGGGAGGUCACGGUGGUAGCAAUGCGCUCCAGCAUCACGGGAGCCAAGCAAUUGCUGGCGGCCCUGGGUCUGCUCCCUUCCAAUAGGAGAAAGACCAGCUUUCCUUCGACAUCAGGAGAUCCUCCCAGCCAAUGCGAGGCCAGACCCCGGUGACUCACCCCACAGUGUGGGGUUUCUCAAGCAGAUGUUCCUGGACCACAUGAAAAGCUGGCAGAGCACUGGGAAGUGUCCUGGGGACACCUGGCACUCUGUCAGGAUCCAGGGACAGGAACCAAGGCUCAGAUUUCCAAUCCCCGGGAUGGAGACCAAGCCGAGAAAGAGCUAUUAUCAAGUCAAUGAGGCAUCUGACAACUGGUUAAGGACGAACAGGUUGACGCACAUAAACAAGGGAGAAAAUCAACCAGGAAACAACCUCGCCCCACAGCAAGUUUCCCUGCAUUUUUACCACCCACAAUCCUUUUUGCUAUUUUUCUUCUCCUUGACCUUGGGUUUUGACGGUUUUUAUCUACCAAAUUCCAUUUGUUAUAAAUGUUUCCUCCAUUUUUUAAAUAAUUAAAAACAAAUAGCAACUCAUACGCCAGUGUUCAGAGCCCCAUUAUGCACAGUAGCCAAAAGGUGGAAGCAACCUAAAUAUCCACCGAUGGAGGAAUGGAUAAACUAAACGUGGUCCAGCCAUGUGAUGGGAGAUGAUUCAGACUUCAAAAGGACACGCGUGGGGGCCGGCCCCGUGGCCAAGUGGUCAAAGAUCCACGUGUGCUCCACUUCAGCGGCCUGGGGUUCACAGGUUCAGAUCCCGGGAGUGGACCUACUCCACUCAACAGCCAU
Molecule: long non-coding RNA, 1573 nt
Filed under: Equus caballus (horse)
Lineage: Eukaryota; Metazoa; Chordata; Mammalia; Perissodactyla; Equidae
Description: lncRNA (ENSECAG00000054189.1)
Source: RNAcentral